GAUGAACGCUGGCGGCGUGCCUAAUACAUGCAAGUCGAGCGAACAGACGAGAGUGCUUGCACUCUCUGACGUUAGCGGCGGACGGGUGAGUAACACGUGGGUAACCUACCUAUAAGACUGGGAUAACUUCGGGAAACCGGAGCUAAUACCGGAUAAUAUUUAGCUUCGCAUGAAGCAAUAGUGAAAGACGGUUCUGCUGUCACUUAUAGAUGGACCCGCGGUGUAUUAGCUAGUUGGUGAGGUAACGGCGCACCAAGGCAACGAUACAUAGCCGACCUGAGAGGGUGAUCGGCCACACUGGGACUGAGACACGGCCCAGACUCCUACGGGAGGCAGCAGUAGGGAAUCUUCCGCAAUGGACGAAAGUCUGACGGAGCAAUGCCGCGUGAGUGAAGAAGGUUUUCGGAUCGUAAAACUCUGUUGUAAGGGAAGAACAAGUACGUUAGUAACUGAACGUACCUUGACGGUACCUUACCAGAAAGCCACGGCUAACUACGUG
RNAcentral lists this ribosomal RNA (499 nucleotides) under uncultured bacterium. RNAcentral's name for it is "partial 16S ribosomal RNA". It matches the Rfam family "Bacterial small subunit ribosomal RNA", at positions 28 to 507 of the family's 1533-position model. The record is from RNAcentral.